RNAcentral lists this small nuclear RNA (131 nucleotides) under Alligator mississippiensis (American alligator). RNAcentral describes it as "U2 spliceosomal RNA". It matches the Rfam family "U2 spliceosomal RNA". Rfam says of the family: U2 is a small nuclear RNA (snRNA) component of the spliceosome (involved in pre-mRNA splicing). Complementary binding between U2 snRNA (in an area lying towards the 5' end but 3' to hairpin I) and the branchpoint sequence (BPS) of the intron results the bulging out of an unpaired adenosine, on the BPS, which initiates a nucleophilic attack at the intronic 5' splice site, thus starting the first of two transesterification reactions that mediate splicing. Lineage: Eukaryota; Metazoa; Chordata; Crocodylia; Alligatoridae. The record is from Rfam by way of RNAcentral.
UUAGUAUCUCAGCCUUUUGGCUAAGAUUAAAUGUAGCACUUUUUGGCAUCAAGGGAAUGGUGUCUGGGCUGGCUUUGGCCUUCCUGGCCUUGGCCAGGUAUUGCACUACUUCCAGGUUCGGUGCCAGUUCC